ACGAACGCUGGCGGCGUGCUUAACACAUGCAAGUCGAACGGAAAGGCCCUGCUUGCAGGGUGCUCGAGUGGCGAACGGGUGAGUAACACGUGGGUGAUCUGCCCCUUACUUUGGGAUAAGCCUGGGAAACUGGGUCUAAUACUGGAUAGGACCAUGCUGUAGGUGGUGUGGUGGAAAGAUUAGUUUCGGUAAGGGAUGAGCUCGCGGCCUAUCAGCUUGUUGGUGGGGUAAUGGCCUACCAAGGCGUCGACGGGUAGCCGGCCUGAGAGGGUGGACGGCCACAUUGGGACUGAGAUACGGCCCAGACUCCUACGGGAGGCAGCAGUGGGGAAUAUUGCACAAUGGGCGCAAGCCUGAUGCAGCGACGCCGCGUGGGGAAUGACGGCCUUCGGGUUGUAAACUCCUUUCAGCCAUGACGAAGCCCUUGUGGUGACGGUAGUGGUAGAAGAAGCACCGGCUAACUACGUG
Molecule: ribosomal RNA, 468 nt
Filed under: uncultured bacterium
Lineage: Bacteria
Description: partial 16S ribosomal RNA
Rfam family: Bacterial small subunit ribosomal RNA
Source: RNAcentral